CUUUGCAGCUUCAAAGCUCAAUGGUCAAACGAAUUGUCUUGUGCACAGUGUCAUCAUUGUGAGAGAAAGGGGAGCGUUGCAAUCGGGCUCGUCUGCUUCAACUUCAACAGAACUGAUCACUCAGAGCCAUCUUUAAUGUUGUGAGAUCAGGCCCCCCACUUAGUGUAUUUGACAAGCUGAGUUGGACACUCUGUAUCACCGAGUGUCAGUUUGUCAAAUACCCCAAGUGAGGUGUCACUUGUCUACAAAUAUAACCCAUCCUGGGUUACUCCACAGACUGACCAGCCUGCUCCACAGGGUAAUCUACCCAUAGAAAUAACAUUUUAUUUUAUUGUCAUUUCUAUGAUUCUACCACACAAAGGAAACUGACAACACCACGGCAACGGGCUCGGAACCCUUUUCUUGUGAAACUUUUGAGUAUAUAGAAAAGGAACGAGGUUUAAUGUGGUUAAAGUGGUAAUAGUAGAGACAAAUGCUUAGUUGUUGUAUUAUCUGUUUAACUGUCACACUUCAAUUAUUGUCAUACAAAUUAUCAUUUUAAUGAACAGAAAGAUUCAUGUUAUCCCAUGAGAGUCCAAAUAAGUGUAAUUAAUGAAACAGCAAAGGCUUGAUAGAGAUGUUUGAAUAAUACAGGUAUGUUAAUAGAUUUAAUUGGCCAAAAAAGCCAACCCCAAUUUAGUUUUUCAGUCUCUUUAUUUCUAGGCUUAUAGAACUGUCACUACUCAUCUCAGCCAAAUAUAUAACGCAACAUAUUGUUAUUGUCAGGCCAGGUAAAGCUGCUCUGAAAUUCCAUCAUUUUUUGAAGAUGUUUUGAAGCAAUUUGCUUCCAGAGGGAUACAGAGGUUAUAAAAAAUGUUGGUUAAUAAGGUUAUGAACAUUUUAGAAUUUUUAAUGAAAAAUGUUGAGAACAACCUAAAUGUGAGGUCUGAGUUUGAUAAUGAUCUGUUGCCAGAUAUGAAAACAUUAAAAUGGACGCCAAAUGUAUCUUAUCAUAUUGGAUUUACACACGUCUUGUGUAAGAGCAAAUCCUACUGGAGAAAAUUAUCGGUUUCUACAAGACUGAAGGGAUGACCAACCUCUUAUGAGACUGCACAUCUGUUUAGGUAUUGGCCUCAUUUUUCCCAUUUAUUUUAAUAAAUUGUUUUAUUUAUACUUAACGGAAGUGUUCUUUCCCUGCCAACAUGCAGAAACAUGACUUUUCAAUUUCACUUGUGAAAAUCAGACUUUGACUUGGGCGACAUGCAGAGGGGAAGAUAAUAGCCCAAUAAAAUAUACAAUGCC
This is a long non-coding RNA of Sander lucioperca (pikeperch), 1281 nucleotides long. RefSeq lists it as uncharacterized. NCBI's taxonomy places the organism in Eukaryota, Metazoa, Chordata, Actinopteri, Perciformes, Percidae. The record is from RefSeq and is a predicted model, not a curated record. The transcript has 2 exons.